AACGCUGGCGGCAAGGCUUAAUCAUGCAAGUCGAACGGUAACAUGUCGGAGCAAUCUGAUGAUGACGAGUGGCGCACGGGUGCGUAACGCGUAUGCAACCUACCCAAUAACCGGAACAUAACGUUGAGAAAUCGGCGCUAAUAUUCCAUGUGUAUAUUUUGUGGCAUCAUAGAAUAUAUAAAGAUUAAUUGGUUAUGGAUGGGCAUGCGUAUCAUUAGGCUAGUUGGUGGGGUAACGGCCUACCAAGGCUGCGAUGAUUAGGGGUUCUGAGAGGAUAACCCCCCACACUGGAACUGAGACACGGUCCAGACUCCUACGGGAGGCAGCAGUAGGGAAUAUUGGGCAAUGGAGGCAACUCUGACCCAGCCAUGCCGCGUGAAGGAAGACGGUCCUAUGGAUUGUAAACUUCUUUUAUCAUAGAGUAACCGCAGGGACGUGUCCCUGCCUGCAAGUAUAUGAUGAAUAAGCAUCGGCUAACUCCGUG
RNAcentral lists this ribosomal RNA (484 nucleotides) under uncultured bacterium. RNAcentral's name for it is "bacterial SSU rRNA". It matches the Rfam family "Bacterial small subunit ribosomal RNA", at positions 32 to 507 of the family's 1533-position model. The record is from RNAcentral.